This 497-nucleotide ribosomal RNA is filed under the name uncultured bacterium. Its description in RNAcentral is "partial 16S ribosomal RNA". It matches the Rfam family "Bacterial small subunit ribosomal RNA", at positions 28 to 507 of the family's 1533-position model. The record is from RNAcentral.
GAUGAACGCUGGCGGCGUGCCUAAUACAUGCAAGUCGAGCGAACGGACGAGAAGCUUGCCUCUCUGAUGUUAGCGGCGGACGGGUGAGUAACACGUGGAUAACCUACCUAUAAGACUGGGAUAACUUUGGGAAACCGGAGCUAAUACCGGAUAAUAUUUUGAACCGCAGGGUUCGAAAGUGAAAGACGGUCUUGCUGUCACUUAUAGAUGGAUCCGCGCUGCAUUAGCUGGUUGGUAAGGUAACGGCUUACCAAGGCAACGAUGCAUAGCCGACCUGAGAGGGUGAACGCCCACACUGGAAGUGAGCCACGGUCCAGACUCCUACGGGAGGCCGCAGUAGCGAAUCUUCCGAAAUGGGCGAAAGCCUGCAGGAGCAACGCCGCGUGAGUGAUGCAGGUCUUCGGAUCGUAAAACUCUGUUAUUAGGGAAGACCAUAUGUGUAAGUAGCUGUGCACAUCGUGACGGUACCUAAUCAGAAAGCCACGGCUAACUACGUG